GAAGAAAAAGUGAGACAUUUCAAGGAAUUCAGCUAAUAAAGGUGGUGAAUCCUCCGAUAAAAACAAGAGAAUUGCACCUGAGGACCAGUAAUCUAAGUACUUCGAAAAUCCCCAUUCUAGACAUUGUUCAGAUUAGGCUGUAGAUAACUGAGUUCAUCGAGGACUACCCUUGGAUUUGCAUUCCUUCAAACUGUAGGUUCACAGUCCUCUUCACUUUUGAUUAUUU
This is a non-coding RNA of Theobroma cacao (cacao), 226 nucleotides long. NCBI's taxonomy places the organism in Eukaryota, Viridiplantae, Streptophyta, Magnoliopsida, Malvales, Malvaceae. The record is from RefSeq and is a predicted model, not a curated record.